This 393-nucleotide ribosomal RNA is filed under the name uncultured Glomus. Its description in RNAcentral is "partial 28S ribosomal RNA". The record is from RNAcentral. Lineage: Eukaryota; Fungi; Glomeromycota; Glomeromycetes; Glomerales; Glomeraceae.
GUGAAAUUGUUGAAAGGGAAACGAUUGAAGUCAGUCGUACAUCGGAUGGGAAAUCAACCUUUUGAGUGUGGAUUCGUGGGAUUAAAAAAGAUUUUGUUCUCGCGGCAUUUGCGUUUUAUGGGUGUACUUUCCCGUAUCGUAAGUCAGCAUCGAUUUCGAUCGUUAUAAAAUGAUCGGAGGAAUGUAGCUUCGACCUCGGUUGAAGUGUUAUAGCCUUUGGUAGAUGUAACGGUUGGGAUCGAGGAUUGCAAUGAAUACCCAAACGGGCUAUCCAUCUGGUCUCUGAUUAGUGACUCUGGCAUUGAAAGCGUGCUUACGAUGUUAGAGUAUGCGGUCAAAAGGUUAGAACGGAUUAAAUUUGUUAAGGAUGCUGACGUAAUGGCUUUAAACGAC